CCUACGGGAGGCAGCAGUGGGGAAUAUUGCACAAUGGGCGCAAGCCUGAUGCAGCCAUGCCGCGUGUGUGAAGAAGGCCUUCGGGUUGUAAAGCACUUUCAGCGGGGAGGAAGGCGUUAAGGUUAAUAACCUUGGCUAUUGACGUUACCCGCAGAAGAAGCACCGGCUAACUCCGUGCCAGCAGCCGCGGUAAUACGGAGGGUGCAAGCGUUAAUCGGAAUUACUGGGCGUAAAGCGCACGCAGGCGGGCGGUCAAGUCGGAUGUGAAAUCCCCGGGCUCAACCUGGGAACUGCAUUCGAAGCUGGCAGGCUAGAGUCUUGUAGAGGGGGGUAGAAUUCCAGGUGUAGCGGUGAAAUGCGUAGAGAUCUGGAGGAAUACCGGUGGCGAAGGCGGCCCCCUGGACAAAGACUGACGCUCAGGUGCGAAAGCGUGGGGAGCAAACAGGAUUAGAUACCCCCGUAGUC
RNAcentral lists this ribosomal RNA (465 nucleotides) under uncultured bacterium. Its description in RNAcentral is "bacterial SSU rRNA". It matches the Rfam family "Bacterial small subunit ribosomal RNA", at positions 338 to 795 of the family's 1533-position model. The record is from RNAcentral.